This is a long non-coding RNA of Agrilus planipennis (emerald ash borer), 1539 nucleotides long. RefSeq lists it as uncharacterized. The transcript has 3 exons. NCBI's taxonomy places the organism in Eukaryota, Metazoa, Arthropoda, Insecta, Coleoptera, Buprestidae. The record is from RefSeq and is a predicted model, not a curated record.
UUUUAUUGGUUCAAUGUAAGCGUAAUUAAUCAUUUUCUUGAUUGAUCGCGAGUUAAAAUCAAAUACUUACACGAAGUUUUGAACGUAGGAGUGAUACAUUAGAUAAAAAUGUUAUCUUAUCGAUAAUGGGUAAUGUCAUGUUAAGUACAAAUAAAAUUAUGAUCAGUUUUAAAUGGUAAUGGUACACUAUUCGGUGGCGAUUUUUCUUUUAAUCGUAAAUCUAUAGUGACUUGGUUUAAAUUAAUCGCUUGGCGGCGUCGCACACGCUGCCGUGGUUGACUAGGCGUCGCGACGCUGUACCACGAGGGACGUCCAAGCGUCGCCAACAAUUGCCGUCUGCCUAACAUGUUCACAGGAUGUCCCGAAAGAGAUUGAUAAAAUCCUUACCGUUGGACACAAAAAGGCACUCUUGCAAGAAUGUGCCGCUAAUAACGCUUUGUGCAGUAUUAUAGAUUGUUGGUUGAUAUUUUGGAUUUUCCAUCAAUUGCCAUACAAAACAAACUCGUUAGUGUCAUCGGAAGUCAGUCGUCGGUACGCGUACGGUUCGAGAAGUGCUACCGAACGUUUCGUAUUUUACAUUGUUUUUAAUAAAAUGACGGCCAAUAUGAUGAUUAAGGGUAAGUUGCAAUCAACAAAAAUUUACAAUACAAAAAAUGUAUGCAAAAUAAUAUCGAACUUUUGCAAUGUUUUCGCCGAUUUUAUUUACGUUUAGGGGAUUCCCAAACUUUGAAAAUUGUUAAAUUAAUUCAAGUGAACUUUGUAUGCUACCUUCAAAGAUAUCUUCAAAAUCCUCUAAGAAAGCAACAUUUUGUUAUCAUAUCGUUACCUAUAUGGGAGCCGCGCUUCUUACUUUAAAAAUGUUUUUACUUACGCUCUUUUCAUAAGUUAUUGUUAUCGAGUUAAUUCGAUUUAAUUUUAUUUUAACUAUCUGGUUUAAAAACCUUUUACGUAUUUUAAAGGUCUACACCUUGUUUUGUUUUACAUUAUUCUAUUAAUGUAAAUGAAGAAGUUUUUUUUAUCACAAGAAAAGUAGGUAGUUAAAAACACUAUCAAGUACCUGUUUUAUAAUAAUAAAAAAAAUUAAUCUAGGUUUCGGGAGAACAAUUUCGUCGAACAAAUCUUUCUUAUAUUAAAACCCACUUGCCCUGUGCUUGUUUUUCUUUCUUUAAACUUGAUAACCUUAACAUAUUUUCGUUUUUCGGUAGAAUCGCGUAUUUAGAUUAUUUAAUAUUUAAUUUGUAAACAAAUUUUAAAUAUUUUGAUAAGUAAUUAUUAACACGAGCUGCUGUUUCUAACCGGAUUAAUACACAAAUUCUAUUUUAUUAAGAAAAAAAUUUAGUAGUAGUACUUCAAUAUGAAAAGUUAAAAAAAAUAUAGUUUUAUGAGGCUUAAGAAGAAUUUUUUUAAUGUUUAUAUACGACAUAGAGAUACUGGAUACUUAAAAGCACCUCUACUUUAGAAAGUCAAAUUUAAUACGAGUCAAAACAUGAAAGUCCAAUAGAGAAAAAUUAAUGGCGCUGGACAUAUCAAAUGUUAAUA